ACUGCUCAGUAACACGUGGACAACCUACCCUAAGGAGGGGGAUAACCCCGGGAAACUGGGGAUAAUACCCCAUAGACUAUGGAUGCUGGAAUGCUUUGUAGUCAAAAGGUCCGCCGCCUUAGGAUGGGUCUGCGGCCGAUUAGGUUGUUGUUGGGGUAACGGCCCAACAAGCCUGUAAUCGGUACGGGUUGUGGGAGCAAGAGCCCGGAGAUGGAUUCUGAGACACGAAUCCAGGCCCUACGGGGCGCAGCAGGCGCGAAAACUUUACAAUGCGGGAAACCGUGAUAAGGGAACUCCGAGUGCCCGUUAAAUCGGGCUGUCCACCAGUUUAAACAACUGGUGAAGAAAGGGCCGGGCAAGACCGGUGCCAGCCGCCGCGGUAAUACCGGCGGCUCGAGUGGUGGCCACUAUUACUGGGCUUAAAGCGUUCGUAGCUGGUUUGUUAAGUCUCUGGGGAAAUCUACCGGCUUAACCGGUAGGCGUCUCAGGGAUACUGGCAGACUAGGGACCGGGAGAGGUGAGAGGUACUCCAGGGGUAGGAGUGAAAUCCUGUAAUCCUUGGGGGACCACCUGUGGCGAAGGCGUCUCACCAGAACGGCUCCGACAGUGAGGGACGAAAGCUGGGGGAGCAAACCGGAUUAGAUACCCGGGUAGUCCCAGCUGUAAACGAUGCGCGUUAGGUGUAUCGGUGACCACGAGUCACCGAGGUGCCGAAGAGAAAUCGUGAAACGUGCCGCCUGGGAAGUACGGUCGCAAGGCUGAAACUUAAAGGAAUUGGCGGGGGAGCAC
This 789-nucleotide ribosomal RNA is filed under the name uncultured Methanomicrobiaceae archaeon. Its description in RNAcentral is "bacterial SSU rRNA". It matches the Rfam family "Archaeal small subunit ribosomal RNA", at positions 85 to 879 of the family's 1478-position model. Lineage: Archaea; Methanobacteriati; Methanobacteriota; Methanomicrobia; Methanomicrobiales; Methanomicrobiaceae. The record is from RNAcentral.